RNAcentral lists this ribosomal RNA (169 nucleotides) under uncultured bacterium. RNAcentral's name for it is "partial 16S ribosomal RNA". It matches the Rfam family "Bacterial small subunit ribosomal RNA", at positions 338 to 524 of the family's 1533-position model. The record is from RNAcentral.
CCUACGGGAGGCAGCAGUGAGGAAUCUUCCACAAUGGGCGAAAGCCUGAUGGAGCAACGCCGCGUGCAGGAUGAAGGCCUUCGGGUUGUAAACUGCUUUUAUGAGUGAAGAAUAUGACGGUAACUCAUGAAUAAGCACCGGCUAACUACGUGCCAGCAGCCGCGGUAAU